This 136-nucleotide small nucleolar RNA is filed under the name Castor canadensis (American beaver). RNAcentral describes it as "Small nucleolar RNA SNORA51 (ENSCCNG00000022463.1)". It matches the Rfam family "Small nucleolar RNA SNORA51". Rfam says of the family: ACA51 is a member of the H/ACA class of snoRNA that guide the sites of modification of uridines to pseudouridines. The record is from Rfam by way of RNAcentral. Lineage: Eukaryota; Metazoa; Chordata; Mammalia; Rodentia; Castoridae.
GGCCUCUUGGUACUUAUUACCAAGAGUAUGUGUUCUUACACUGACUGUACAGAAAGAGGAGGGAAAGUAAACUCAUCCCACAUACUCCUGAGCCCAGGGCUUGAGCCUGGUCUGCAUUGUGAGUGGGAAGACAUGG